RNAcentral lists this microRNA precursor (97 nucleotides) under Marmota monax (woodchuck). The record is from RNAcentral. Lineage: Eukaryota; Metazoa; Chordata; Mammalia; Rodentia; Sciuridae.
ACAUGAAUUGCCUGGACAUUGUGUUAGAGUACAGCCUCUGAAGGCUUGAGUGGACCUGAGAGUCUGCAUUUCUAACAAGUUCUCAGGUGCUGCUGAU